CCUACGGGAGGCUGCAGUAGGGAAUCUUCCACAAUGGGCGAAAGCCUGAUGGAGCCACGCCGCGUGGGUGAAGAAGGUCUUCGGAACGUAAAACCCUGUUGGUCGAGAAGAAAGUGCGGGAGAGUAACUGUUCACGUUUCGACGGUAUAUAAACAGCAAGCCACGGCUCAGUACGUGCCAGCAGCCGCGGUAAGACGUAGGUGGCGAGCGUUAGCCGGAUUUGUUGGUCGUAAAGGGAAGGCAGGCGGUCGUGUAAGUCUGAUGUGAAAGGUUUGGGCUUAACCGGAGUAGUGCAUUGGAAACUGGGAGACUUGAGUGCGGAAGAGGAGUGUGGAA
RNAcentral lists this ribosomal RNA (336 nucleotides) under uncultured bacterium. RNAcentral describes it as "partial 16S ribosomal RNA". It matches the Rfam family "Bacterial small subunit ribosomal RNA", at positions 338 to 666 of the family's 1533-position model. The record is from RNAcentral.